Corvus hawaiiensis (hawaiian crow) is the source of this 709-nucleotide long non-coding RNA. RefSeq lists it as uncharacterized. The transcript has 2 exons. NCBI's taxonomy places the organism in Eukaryota, Metazoa, Chordata, Aves, Passeriformes, Corvidae. The record is from RefSeq and is a predicted model, not a curated record.
CCAUCCCGCCCAGCUCAGGCCCCGCCGGGCCGCGGAGGUGUGUUUGGAGUCGGGUUAGGUCACUUAUUCGCCGCCCGCUCGCCCUGGGCUCGGGGAAGGGGCUGGUGGGCAGCGGCGUGUGCCCGUCCCCGGGGAAAGCACUGAACUGACAGCGCUUAGCGUGGUGUAAAGUAAGAAGACGAUGUGGAAAUAAAGAACAAUCGUAACAUCCAUUUGAACGGUCAGUUCCACCAAAAGAUCCACAGUAGCAUCAUAAAGUUUCAGCCACAGGACUGGGAACAAAAUGCUCCUGUCAGCAAUAAUUCAAACCCAGUGAGAGGUGCAUCCCUUCUCCACGCUGCUUUGAGUCUGCUCCAAAUACUUCAAAAGAUAAUCCUGCAAUAGUAGCCUUACUGUUACUGUUGCUUGCAACUGCAGCCCAGCGGUCCCCAUUAUAAACUACUUUCUGAACUAGUGUACCCUGACUCAAUCAGCAAUCCAUGUCAUCAGACGAAAAGAGAAGGAGAAAACAUUUGGAUAGCUUCUAACUUCAGCAUAGCCAUACCAAGAUUACAAAACACACACCCACCAAAAGAAGAAAAGCAAUGCUUCAGACAGCAUUGUAGAUUAUGAUGGACAUUAUAGUUUAGGGAAGUGAGGUGAAACAGGAUCAGUUCUGUGUUUGUGUGGAGACAUUUGCAAUCAAUAAAUAAAAUUGUGUUCAAACAUU